CCUAUAGUUUUUUUCCUGUAUCUUUGCACUUGAAGUGGCAUUGAGUGUGUUUUUUGAUCUUCAUUUUCUUUUUGACUUUUGGAAAUGUGUGCUUUGUGACGAGUUUGUGUCCUGGAUUACAGUUUGGGAUUACAAAUACACUGCGGUGCUUGAGUUGUAGUUCUUAAAAUACAGGCUGAGGCUGUUGUUUCUUCCCAAAUAAUAGUGGAAUGCAUAUACGCUGCUUUCGUCUAAAUAAAAAGCUUCAGGGAGAUUUAGUUAGUAAUAGUAUUAAGAUUUGCAAUUCAUGGAAGAAAAUUCUUGAUAAUUACCAUCUCUGUAAUUGAUGCUCUGCCCGUGCUUCAAUGUGUCCAGCUGUAUGUAAAUCUUCUCCAGCUACAUAUUUGUGCAUUUCUUUCCCCAUGUAAAUGAGGAAUCUCCUUGGUUUCUAUUUGGGGACCGGGACCCGAUGGAUUUGGCAUUGCCUAAUUGAAAAGCAGGAUAUGUUGCCAAGAAAGGAUUUUCCUUCUAUUCAGGGAGCGGGGCGGCGUGAGCUCCGAGCUCGCAGGCGUUUCCGUGUGCUCCCCGCCUCGGGGGCAGCGAGCGGGCAGGAAGGUUUGUAGUGCUGCCCCGGUGGGUGUCUGGGGUCUGGCUGUACCUUCAGCCCGGCCCUGGCUGGCUGAGGAAGGAUGGGACCACGUUUACAUCUCCCACGUGUGGCCUGGGCCUGGCGCUGUUCCUCCCCGUGACUUUCAUCAGUCUGCGGCUCUUGUCUGUGUGGUGGUUUGGUCUGAGGCUCUGUAGGGCAGAAAGGCUCUCCAGCCUCUAUCUGCUUUUUCUCUUAUUUUCUGUUAUUUGUAGAAAGUUCCUGCAAUGGUCACGAGUGUUUCCUGUGCCCUACUUGUGGCCAUGCCGUCAUCUCCAGCAAGCAGCUCCUUCAGCCUAAUCACACUACUCGGCCCUGUACGCCCCGUGUUAAGUCAGCACGUUGCCACAUGCCAUUGUACUGUGUCACUUGACUGGUCUGAUUUAUGUGACAAAAGUGAAUGGAAGCACCGGGAUCUCAGGAGAAUGUGCUGACCUGCCUGAUCCGGUGCCAGUUCUAAUGUGUGGAUUUUAAUCCCAUUUUUCAUCUAGGCAAAGUAGUUUUGAUGCAGGUAUACCAGUUGCUAAAGGUAACCUAUUAAAUAAGAAAAUACUACACGUGUGUGUGUGUGUGUGUGUGUGUGUAUCCUGAUACAACUCUUCGGCAGGGGGUGUGGAGCAGUAAAUAACUAACCCUGUGAAGCUUCAGUUCAGCAGUGCAUGUAGGCUGUAUCCUGAAGCCCAUUGCUUUUAUCUCUAAGGAUAUCAAAGCACCUGAGCUGGCUCUUAUCGUGCAGUUAAGUCCUGUGAUAAGUUAUUUGCUAAACAGGGCCUGUGUGAGAAUAACACUUGUUAAAAUAAUUGAGAGCACGAAGCUUGGUGCUGCAAGAUGCUUAGCAUUCAGUUGCCUGUUCAGCAGGGCACUUGUGGAGAGAGGAUCCUGCAUCUGAUUUAUAAAUAGCCCGAUUAACUUCCUCCUGCUUGCUACGGUUCUCUUUCCUUAAGUAUCUCUGGUACUUUUUUAUGAUAUCCGUUGGAAAAUAGCAGAGAAAGUGUAUGCUGAUGCCUUCUAGAGAGGUGGUAAUAUGUAGCUGGAAUCUGAAAAAUACUUUGAGCCACGAGCCUCUUUGAUCUCUGGAAAAAUCUCUACAGCAUCUUUCAAGUAAAGGCCUGCCAAUAUUUGCUUGGUUUUUGGAGAGACACCUAAGGCCUGGUUCGGGAUAGCAGUUCUGUGUCAUUUAGCAAAUAGUAUAACCUCUGCUUAUCUUACUGUCUGGGUCUCUUUCUUUGUUCACCCACUAUAUUUUCAUUGGACCCUGAUCUUUUGUCUUUGUUUCUCCCUUUGUGGCAGGGAUUAUUGUUUUGCAACAAGUAAGCUUUCUUAUCCUAGCAGGAUGAGGUUGUUACCCAGGACUGGGUCACGAUAACUUUUUUUUUUGCUCCCAUAAUAAUAAAUAAACUCGUGUUUAAGUGUAUUUUCUGAAUGGAUCUGAAAACAGAUGGGAGGGAUAAGUCCCUGUUUCUUUAUGAUAAUGUAUAGCACUUCACCUCAGGCACAUGCCUAUCUUAAAUAUCUAACACAUUGGUAGUUAGCAUUAAUUAUUUCCAUCAGCUUCAUUCUUUUAAUUAAAAGGAAUCAUUAUCAUCUCCAUGGUGGUAUAUUGAUAUAGUAAACAGUGGAGAAUCAGAAAUGAAGGUUGCUGUGAUGAACAACAUUCCUUCUGCAUUUAUGCCUCUGCUUAAUAGUCUACUGGUAAUGGGUGGCUCCAUGUGUUUUCAAGCUCAGACAGCAGCGAGGAGAUGUCUUCAGCUCUCUGUUUACCAGAAAGAUGGAAUUAAACAAAAAGGAUUGAUGAGAUUUAGAAAGAAAGCUGAAGGAGAUUUGGAUAUUAAGUAAGCUGGCAAAUACCGUGCCUGAAUCUUGGGAGCAGGAUUUAUUUUUAAGCUAAUAUAUGUUCUCUCCCACUUAAUGGAUUUUUUUAUUCCCCAGUUAUAAAAGAUUUUUAUUUUUUAGUAACUGUAUCUUGAUGCUGCAAGCUAGCAUUAAAAUUAACAGUUGGCAUCUGUCAAGCAAAGCAGUCUCCAUGUCAACUAAGUAGUAUUUGGAAGACAAUUAGAAGCCCUUGAAACACAUCAGAAGAUGUGUGGUGAGUGGGUAAGGAAAUGCUGUACAAUUUCGUUGUACAUUCAUGUACAAUUUCAUGUAUAAUUCAUUGGUACUACAGACUCUAGGUGAAAUUUCAGUAUCCCUAAUUUUUUGCUUAAAUACCAUUCUCUCAGAUUUAAAACUCACUUAGGGCCGUGUACUCAUCUGUUGUGAAUGAGCUUAAAGGAACUCAGUGGAACUGCAUCUAAGCAAAUCUGUUUCCAAGCUGAUGGAUGGACACAGCUCUUGAAAUCAAAUCCAAGGUUUGAGACUUCUUUCAGCUUGCCUCAGGUUUGUGGACUGAGCAUUUUUCUACCAACAGAAGCUCUGUAGAGUUAGUUUAGUUCUUGUAAUAAAAUUGAUGCAAUACAUCUUAUUUGUGGGAGUGUAAUUUACAUGUAUGGAUAUAUAAAAACUCCACAACAAAAAAAAACCUUUCUGUAAAGAAAAUCAGGGAUUCUGUGUGAGUGUAGAUGCAGGACAUUGAGUUUCCUGCCAGGAACGUGUAGCUGAAAUAGAGCUGGUAACAACUCAAAGACUUAUUUUGCUAAUUUCUUCAUGCCUCCGUACACUGUCUCCUCAACUUCUAUUUUUUCUUCUCAAAAAAAAAAAAAGUGAAAAACACUGAAUGGCUGCACCUAGAAACUAGGUAUCUUUUUCAUUUUUUUCAUCCUUAGUCCAUGGGUCACAGAAGUUUUUUAUUUUCACCACUCAUAGAUGGAAACUUUUCUUCUGAGCUUCCUGUGGAGGUGUGAAGGAUGCAGCCUGAGAAGCUGCCUCAUAGAAUUUGCAAGGCGGAGAGCGCGUUGUAUCCUCAUUAGGGUGGUUGGUUGGGUCGUAAGUAAGACAAAAUCAGCAGCUUUUCUCUUCUGCUGAACAUGAAUUUAGCAUUAAGUGAUCUGUUAGACUUGCUUCUUUCUUUCAGAGGGAUGUCGAGCUGUAUCUCUACUUAGAGCUUAAUUUGUAGUUGCUUUGAUAGUAGUUUCAACCCUGAGCUAUGGAAAUCCUUCCUCAUCUUUUCAAGCUCCUUGUGGGUUUUAUCAAAGGGUGGAAUUUUUCUUUCUCAAAUAUUUUCUCUGUGAAAAUAUAUUUAGAAAGUAGCUUACCAACUGCUCUUCUGCCUCCCUCUCUUCUUGCAGACUCGGGGUCUGCUACUUGCCUACGUUAUUUACUGCACAGCAUUUGCUGUGUGUAUACUGUGCUAAAAUAUUCAUGAUGUAAGACUGACUUUCAGAAAGGCAAACCACUUGAUUACCCUGUAAGGCUAAAAACAAAUGCAAAUUAAGACUUCUUUUAAUGUGCUUGUAUAUAUAUAUAUAUUAUUAUUAUAUGUAUAUUUUUUUAACUGAGUUUUACCUUUUUCCAACUAGUGCCUUACAUACUUACCUUAAAGUGUUGCAUUGGACUGUAGCAGAGAAUUUGAGAAAUCCCACAGUUGGUCAAACCAAAUGGCUUUGACAGCAGCAGCUGCUCCAGGAAUGUGCAUAGAAACAUCUGUAGCGUGCUGUGUUAGAUAAAGAGCCUUACAGGAUUGGAGAAUACCUGGAAGCAUUUAAAAGACUUGGAGAUGUAAUACAAUUGUAUUUGGAUGUGGAAUUAUUUUUAAAGAAAAGAUAGCCUUAACCUUAAAAAAAAAGAAAAAAAAAAAAGAAUGAAUGUUGCAUGUUUAUAAACCUCUGUAUUACAUUUGUAUUGCUUCUGAUACAGGGACGUAAGUUUGUUCAUGCUAUAGUUUUGGAGCACACUCCUGUAUUCCCCAGGCAGGAGGGCAUAUGUGAGAGUCCCAGAGAAAUAUGCAGGUCUGCGAGCAGCAGACAUGCUUAGAUAUUUGAUACUUUAAUUUUUCUGGGCUUAGGCUAUGUUGAUGGUCUAAGAGAACUCUGAGGAGUUUUCAGUGUCAAGUAAGAUGUUGAAAAAUACAUGGUUUUUUUCUUUGCUUAAUAUUUUUCUUAGAUAAAAAACUUAGUUCUUAAAGACAAUCCUCACACACCAAGAAGUUUCACAAGGACACACAAAUCAAAUUGUAGUUUCAAUGUGAAAUAUGAUUUUAGUGCUGCAGCAUUGAAAUUCUAUGCCCUUACAGACUGAAGUGUGCUUUUGUCCUUAGAGAGCAUGGGGUCAACUCAUCCAGAGUCAGCUACGGAAAUGGCUUUCCAAAACCAAGUUUUUAGUUUACUUCAGCACUCACUGCCUUAUAAUUUCUGAAGGCGAAAGGUCAGCCUGAUGGUCUCACUAGUUCGUAUUUUUUUUUGCAGAGCAUGCUGGAGGGUGGAAUUGGGUAUUACGUGGCAUGUAAAUACUGUUUGAGGGGAAUGCAGGAAUGCAGUAUGUGCUCUAAGUUCUGUCUUAUUAGAGCAGGUUUCUUUAACUAAUAAUGUGCAUAGCAGAAAAAAAGAAUAGAAACACAAACUUGUGUUAAUAAAUAAAUUUCUGCUCCUCUGUGUAUUGGAGAGCAUUGUUUGCACACGAAAAAGAAAACUGGGUUAAUAUGGAGAAAUGCUUGCUACAGGAUAAAAGGAAGUAUUUUCUUCUAGAAGAAGGUGUCUUCUGCACUUGAUUGUUUAGGCAGCUUUAGUAAUUAUAAAAAAUACACACUUGAAAGGUAAGGAAAAUUCAGUGGUUAAGCUGCAGUUAACCAUGUGGGUAGUCCACAUCUCCAAGUGGGUGUGCAUAUCAAAUCUGACGGUGCCUUAAAGCAAUGUAUUGGGGGGUGAGGGGAUGGAAAUCUGCCCUCACUGCCCCUGCUGCACGUACUCACAAGACAGAUUCAGCGCAGAGGCAGGACUGCAAUCGGAGACCACAGCCAAAUGUGUUCAUACAUUUGUGGCGUUAGUGUUUCAGUUCCAUUUCUUUUCAAAUGAAUAGAAGAACCUUUUCAAAGAUAGCAUUUCAAGAAAGAUUAGGCUUCCAAAUACUGAGCUGAGCGUAAUCAGCAGGUGACAUUUGAGACCAGUAAUUUUUAUGUAUUUUAGCUGAAGCCUGUCCGUAGCACUGAUUAAGAAAAUACUUCUACUCUCCCCUCUUAUUUCAGAAAUACUGAGUAAGCUUAAAAAAGAAAAGAUUUAAUUUCUGUAGAAGUCUGUUCCUGUUGAAGUCUAAUGCAGAUCACGACAGAUGAAACCUACAAAGAGCUCCCCUGUCAGUAUUUCUGAAGGUGCCCCUGAUCCAGCUCAAAUUCUGAGGUUUGAAAUCAUCUCUGUUUUUAAUAUAGUUUUAUCUUAAAGACCUCCCCAGUCAUUCCUAAAACCGCAGUAAGGUCUCUGUGUUGCUUAAUGCUACUUUACUGAGUCUGGAUAUGAAAUUAAAUAGGAAGUGGUACAGUGAUGAUUCUCUCUCUCGUUUCUCUCUGAUUGCUGCUACCCACUGCUGCCCACUUCCUGAGGCUCCAUGCAGACCUUGGAUGAUCUGAUCUGCUUGGUUCCUGAAAGUAAAAGCCAUACACGUGCAUUACAAACAACCCUUUGGAGGUCUGCACCUUCUCGUGUCUGCAGAUAAGAGAAAAAGAGCUGCCAAGUACCUCCUAUGCCAGCAGUCCAGUGGCAUGAAAUACCAUACACCAAAGGGCAUUUUAGCACAGUGGCUUCUGCCCAGCGUUGUUCUCUCUGUGCCUGACACUCAUUAGGUGUGUUUGCAGAAGUAGCUGGGUCAGGGGCAAUGUACAACACCCAUACUGUGUUUCUGCUCAGAGCUGGCUAGAUUUAAUUGGUGGACGAACAGUCAGAGUCCACUAACAGCUUUAAUCUUGCUAUUUAUUUUUUUUUAAACUGAAAUUGCUCUGUGAUGGGCACUGGAGUUCUAGCUAGACAGGUGAAAAGACUGCAGAAAGGAGGCCUUUGGGUUCAACAAGUGCAAGUCCUUCUUUUGGCAUUUACCAUCUCAGUUCUAACUUUGUCAGUAAGGAGUGGAAGAAUAUUGCUCUCAUUAAAGAAGAAUACUUGCAAGGAAGUGUUAAUAUUGUUAAUUCUGGUUUGUGUUUGUUCUUUCAACCCCAUCAGCUAACCAAGAUACAUACCCAUUUUCUCUAGGGGGCUGCUCUUCUGUCCUUUUGACCACAUUAAGUUAGGCCUCAGCCUAUUAGUAAGGAAUUCCAGUUGUAUCUGUGUUGCCAUUCAAAUAUUCUUCAUGGAUUCAUGACUAAUUUUCAUGCUUAAAAGCACGUUUUCUGUUAUUUAUGAGCAUUGCUUAUUUUUGUUUCACUUGGACUUCCUUACCUUUUGCUGAGUGCUGCAUAGAAAUCCCUGCAGACUGCUGAAAACUUGUCUGCUUUCUAGAUGGCUGUUCUUGUUUUCCCUUGCUCUGAAUAGUUAAAUAUUCUGAUUUUGAAAUGAAUAAAUUUUCAGAAGCUUCUUGUUAAAAUUGAAACCCUACCAAUUUACUUCCAACAUUUUCCAUUUCAAGUGUUUUUUUAGAGUCCUCUUGACUAUUUCUGCUAUUCUCUUCUCUGUUGCUAUGUGAAAAAUUUAUUUCUGCGCAGGGCAAACUCACUGUUUGCUAAUAAGCUCAGCUAUGGUGUAAUAUGCUCAGUCUUAACUUGUAUUAUUAGAGUAAUCUUAACAACGACAGGCCUCUCAUAUACCUAUACACAGUGUUAGAUUAGUGUAUUACGCUUACGUUACAACCGUGUUCUUAGAUAAGGGUUGUGAAAUCUCCUAUUUAAAAUCUCCGUGAUUUUAAUAAGCCUGUUUGGGAGUUCUGGUCAUUUAUACACUGCAGAAUGUCGAGAACUGUAGGAUACAAGAAAAACAGAGCAAAGUGGUACAGAAGCCAAAAAGACUGUCAGGGUGAUUCUAAGCAACUACAGGGCCUUUUUCCCUCUCUUUCUUCCCCUCCCUCUCUGUUUGUGUAUUACCUGUAGCUUAUUAAAUGUUCUAUAGAGAAAAUUAAGGUGGAUUAAUAUUUCUAGAAUAGACACAUCACCUUGAAAUUGUGUGCUAGAAAUUGAGAUGAACAGUGUAUUAUAUUAAGAAACUGUUUUGAACUAAUAAAUACUUCUUAAUUUUAAUUUUUAUUAAAGAGUUGAUGACUGUGUUUGACUGAUGAUAUAAAUUAACUUUGUUACAAGUAUGAAUUGGUUAUUUGCACUCAUAAUCUGGAGAUUAGUUACCUGAAAUUAAAAAUGAUUUAAGUAGUUUCCUUAUAUUACUAGUUUUGCAUGGAGAAUUCUGCCUACAAGGUUUGAAAAAGCCGUGUGUGUGUGCCAUUUGUAAGAAGAGUUAAAUUAGUGUAAAGGGGAUCUCCUUUUUCAAAUAGUUUUCUAAUUCUUUUCCAUUGUGCUUUGCAGUUCUCAAAGUAGACAUCCACAAAGAGAGGAAUCAAAACCUCCCUGUAGGGAAUGCAGCUCGUUGUAUCAGUGGUAACAGCACCAGCCUGUUUUAUUCUCGUAAGUUGAAGAGGAUGUGCUGUCUUAAGAGACAGGCUUAUUAUCCUGUUGAAGUACCUUGCUGGGAUGGCACUGGAAAUUAAAAUACAAGAAAUCAGUCUCUAAAACCUCUGUUGUAGUAUUUAAAUGUGCAAAAGAUUUGACUCUGUUAUGUUCCUGUCUCCUUUGGAGAAAGAAAAUGAUUCGUUAGUCUUCAAGCAUGUAAUGGCCUUUCAUUUGCAGGGAUUUUCAGAUAGGUUAUUUUUAGUGAAGCAUUUAUCAAAAUCAUGUCUGUAUAACUUAGCAUUUAAGUGUUUAAAGUGUUAGAAAAUGGAUUAUUUUUCUUAGGUUUGUAUUGAUCAACACUGUUGUUGGAAGGUAUUUUUGCCCUUAACGAAGAAGCAAAGUUUCUCUUUUUAAGGAGCUUUACCUCUGCCUUAGUGCAGAGAUUGUUCAUUUCAUAGCAAAACCGAAGGCAGAAGAGAAAUGCAAGUGUGCUGAGAAAAGAAAAGCUUCAGGGUUAACUCUGGUAUCUGUGGGCACAUUGAUCCUUUUGAAGAAGUAUCUUUGUGUGUUUUGUCUAGCUCUAAUCUUUGCUUCUGUUCUGGAGAAACUUUACUUUGGAGUAAUGAAGUUCUUUAACAGAUCAUUUUCCUUUACUAAAUCAAUUAUUUACAGACUUUUAAAGAUUCUAUGAUUUUGAAAGACCCAAACCCUGAUGCUAAUUCCAGAUAAACUGGUGACACCUGUGCUCAUUUAUCUCAACACUGUAAUCCCUUUCAAAGGCUUGAAUUUUCCUGUUUAAUCUGCAGGAUCACGUCACAGUGUCUCCUUUCAAAGCCAUUUCUGCGUGCUCUGAAGUUGAUUGCUGAUACCAUCUGAGGCCAGUGCCAGGCUGGAGCCUGAUGAGUUUUUAUCACUGUCUGCCAUAAUGUGCCUAUGUGAAAUGUUUGGAUUGUGAAUCACAUGUGUGCUGUCACCUUUGAGUUGCAGUUCCUCUCCCCCAGUCACCCUGCCUUCCGAAAACAGGAGUGCUGCAUCAUCAGAUGUCAGGAGGCAUCCACUGGAGAUCUCUGCAUGGUCUAUUCUCUAAGUUUGACAAGAAUUUGUUAAGAAUGUGCAAUUUGAAGCAAGGAUCAGUUUCCCAGGGGCUAGUAACGCUGGGAGGCAAGUGCCUGAAUUCCAGCCUCUUUAUAGUUGUUGAAUUUCUACCAGUUUAUAUAACCGUGGAAGAUCUACUUAAAAUUAUUUUCUGGUUGUGUAAAUGUUUAUCUUCUUUCUGUAAAUUCAUUUUUUACGAAAUGACUUUGGAUACAUUUCUCCCUUCUCUCCCCUGCUCCAACAAAUCAACCCUCUCCCAAACUGUAUGCAUUUUAACUUUAUUUUUGAUUUCAGGUUUUGUAAGAAAUAAAUUUUUUUUCAAUGCUACAGUGACAGUACCAUUACAUUUUAACUUCCUGGUCGUGCUUCUCUUGGCUGAGUGCUUUGUGACAGGAACGAAAACCUUCGUCUUCGUGCCUGGCUGAUCAAGCAUGCUUACCCAAAGUGAGCUGGUAGCCUGAGGAAGCCCUGCUCUGCUUCUCAGGGAUGUGCUGAGUGCUGAUGCAAACCUUGGAGACUUGUGUUACAGGGCAGCUUGUGGUAACCUCAUAAGGAUAUAUUGGGUGCCCAGGGGCAUGUUGCAUGCUCUUGGAAGGCUGUAAAUACUUUCCCCUGUAAAGAGGCAAUAUAUCUUGGAAGUGGGAAGACAUUUGCCAACAGGAGGUGUUUGUCUGGAGAGCUUUCCUGUUUCGGCAUGUUUGUUCAAAUGUGUGACCUUCUUGCAUGCAAAUGGUCACCCUUCCCUGUGUUUGCUCUUCCCUGUGCUGAAGUUUGUUUUCCUUCUGAACUGAAAUGAAGCCAAGUGUUGAUUUGGCUGUCUGUCUUGUAGUUGCAAGUUCUUUUUUAGUUCACCCUCUCCUCUGGUUUUAGUGUAUAAUUUCAGUGCUAUUGUGAUGUUGGAGGAAAUAAAAAUGUAAAACAUGA
Molecule: non-coding RNA, 10094 nt
Organism: Anas platyrhynchos (mallard)
Lineage: Eukaryota; Metazoa; Chordata; Aves; Anseriformes; Anatidae
Source: RefSeq, a predicted model, not a curated record